UACGGAGGGGACUAGCGUUGUUCGGAAUUACUGGGCGUAAAGCGCACGUAGGCGGACCGAAAAGUCAGAGGUGAAAUCCCAGGGCUCAACCUUGGAACUGCCUUUGAAACUGCCGGUCUAGAGUUCGAGAGAGGUGAGUGGAAUUCCGAGUGUAGAGGUGAAAUUCGUAGAUAUUCGGAGGAACACCAGUGGCGAAGGCGGCUCACUGGCUCGAUACUGACGCUGAGGUGCGAAAGCGUGGGGAGCAAACAGG
This 253-nucleotide ribosomal RNA is filed under the name uncultured bacterium. RNAcentral's name for it is "partial 16S ribosomal RNA". It matches the Rfam family "Bacterial small subunit ribosomal RNA", at positions 524 to 776 of the family's 1533-position model. The record is from RNAcentral.